RNAcentral lists this ribosomal RNA (253 nucleotides) under uncultured bacterium. RNAcentral's name for it is "partial 16S ribosomal RNA". It matches the Rfam family "Bacterial small subunit ribosomal RNA", at positions 524 to 776 of the family's 1533-position model. The record is from RNAcentral.
UACGUAGGGUGCAAGCGUUGUCCGGAAUUAUUGGGCGUAAAGAGCUCGUAGGCGGCUUGUUGCGUCGGCUGUGAAACCCCGGGGCUCAACCCCGGGUCUGCAGUCGAUACGGGCAGGCUAGAGUCCGGCAGGGGAGACUGGAAUUCCUGGUGUAGCGGUGAAAUGCGCAGAUAUCAGGAGGAACACCGGUGGCGAAGGCGGAUCUCUGGGCCUUGCCUGACGCUGAGGCGCGAAAGCUAGGGGAGCGAACAGG